RNAcentral lists this long non-coding RNA (1275 nucleotides) under Delphinapterus leucas (beluga whale). RNAcentral describes it as "lncRNA (ENSDLEG00000000302.1)". Lineage: Eukaryota; Metazoa; Chordata; Mammalia; Artiodactyla; Monodontidae. The record is from RNAcentral.
AUGAUACCCAGAGAGUGGUGGGGACCCUUUAAGCCACAGACAGGCGGUGGCCAAGCCAGGCCGAGGACGUGGCCCAGCCUCCCAGCCCUUGAGUCCUUCCCUGCAGCAGGUGUUCUGCCCGGGAGCUCACGGGGUACCGCUGAGCCAUCCCACCUGCGUCCUGAGCAGCCCCCUGGAAGGAGGAGGAAGAGGGUGCUCUGGCAGAUGGGGCGUAUUCUAUUCAGCUGCCAGCGUCAUUACUGUGUGACCCCGGGCAGGUGGCUUGCCUUCUCUGUGCCCCGCAGCCCUGGCCCCUGCGACCUCCUAGGUGUGGGAGGCAACCCGGGCAUGACCAGCAGAGGUGUCGUGGGCCAAGGGCCGUCCCAGGCUGGCAGGGUCCCGAGGAGACCAAGUGGGGUGCCUCGUGUGACCACCCCGUCCUCUCACCCCUCCAGCUCCAACGAGGAGGUCACCGCUAUGAUCCGGGCUGGGGACACCACCAAGUUUGACGUGGAGGUUCUCAAGCAGCUCCGCAAGCUCCUUCCCGAGAAGCACGAGGUGAGUGGACCCAAGAGGUGUGUGUCGGGGGGGCCCAAGGGGCCUGCAGCUCCACCCAGAGCUGUGCCCGGUGAGCGGGCACCUCAGCGAGCCGCCGCAGGUCUUCUGGGUGAGCACGCGUGGGCCUCCUGUUGCAGGUUGAACACCUGCGCUCCUUCACAGAGGAUCGGGCCAGGCUGGCCAGCGCCGACCAGUUCUACCUACUCCUGCUGGAUAUCCCCUGGUGAGCUCGGCAGCCCCGGACCCGAGGGCCUGCCCAUGGGUGGGAGCUGGGCCCAGACCCAGAGAACAGAGCAGGGCUGUGUAGACGCGUCCCCAGGGUUUCACGAAGAGCAGUCCAGAUAUCACUGGUGCUGCCCCCAGCCGCGGGGCCCUCCAAGGGGACCCUGUGGGCCGGGGCCUCCCUCCCGGCCGGCGACGGCAUUGGGGGUGGGCAGCGGGCAGGGCUGUGUGGCCUCCAGCAGGCAGGCCCAGGCCCCCCUGUGUGACCCCCGGGAAGGCCCCUGUUCUAGGAGCGAGGAGUGCCCCACGAGGGAGCGCCUGCCCUCAUCUUUGGCAGCCAGGGGCUUGUCCAGAGCGCCCUUCCCGGGCCCACGCCAGGCCUGCUGCAUCCCACUUGGGGCCCGGCCCGGGAAGCUGCGUGCUGAACAGGGCCAGGCCGUGGGACCACCCCCCACCAGCUCUGCCGAGAGGACCCUGCGGGCCCAGGGAAGGUGGGUGGAGGCCCCCAGGCCCUGA